This 358-nucleotide unclassified non-coding RNA is filed under the name Hevea brasiliensis (rubber tree). The record is from RNAcentral. Lineage: Eukaryota; Viridiplantae; Streptophyta; Magnoliopsida; Malpighiales; Euphorbiaceae.
UGGAACUGCUCGCUUGCUACAUGGUAUGUGUUUUUAUGUUUUUGGCUUGUUGCCAAAGUAUUGCUAUUUAACCGUUUUGUGCUGUUAAAUUAUUAUUACUUCUUACUUUUGUCUGGACAUGGUUCUGGAUUUCACUUAUUCCUUGUGAGGUCUUGCUAGAAUUUGGGAAGUCAUUUUGAUUUUUAUAUCAAAUAGAUACAUUUUUAUUUUUUGAAUUUUUUAUGUGCAGGUUUUCAAUUUUGAUAUUAUUAGUGGUUGUGUUAUUAGGUUGACUACAAUUACCAUAUAGGUCAUAGGCUCAAACUCUCAUGGGGUUGUCAACAAUGUCAAAUCUCUGAUUAUCUUCUUGUAUUAGAAC